RNAcentral lists this long non-coding RNA (3124 nucleotides) under Citrus x clementina. Its description in RNAcentral is "Citrus clementina (C. clementina) long non-coding RNA (CCLE_LNC000492)". Lineage: Eukaryota; Viridiplantae; Streptophyta; Magnoliopsida; Sapindales; Rutaceae. The record is from RNAcentral.
UACUGUUAUUAUAAUCACAAACAGAAUAAAGACUCGAUGAUUUUGCUACCUCGAAACUGUAAUAUUCACUGCAACAGAUAAACUACAAAAGAUUAUAAGAGGAUCAAGAAUAUGCAAAUAACUAAAUAUCACAACAUAGGUUCAUCGUUUAAUUGCAAGAUGGAAAAUGGCACAAUCUGUAAUGUUUUAUGAUUAAAUGAACAACCUACCACAUUAAAAUAAUCAUACUCGUGGACCAUAUAUGUUUCUUGCCUGUAUAAUAGAUAAGCAAAAGCUACAAACAGAAAAUACACAAAAUGAACUUGCCUAUUUUGCGGCAAUCAUCACUUAAAGACAAAUACAGGAGUAAUGGAUUUACUGUAAUUUCAGACUUAAGCUAAUUUUUUUUUUCUUAUUUCACUUUUGAUAGGAUCAUAAUUUAUCUAAUUUCAAGGCUAACUAUCCAAUCAAAAAACAUUAUUAAAGGCUCAGAAUGAUAAAUGUAACAGAAAAGAAAAGCAAGGCACUUCACUUUGACACACCAGCUACAGUAAUGUUUACUUAAUUAACAUUUAACACACUUCAUUUUCUCAAAAAGAUUGGGUCUCUUCCUUUUCAUGGGGUCAUUAGCUAAAGAUCUGAGAUUCAACCAAAACUCUUAGCAUGCCACGCUUUUAAUAGCGAGUCAAGCUGAUUUUUGCAACAUCCAUCAUCUCUUCAUUUUAUCUUAUCUCAUUUUUACAUCAAACAGAUAGCAUUUGAACAGAUGAACCAAGCUUCCAUCCCAUUAUUUUUUGCAGGACUUUAUAAAGUGUUAUAUACUCUUUCAAUGUAUUUUAAGGUCAUCGUUGCUAUCCUCCCUCCUAACCUACAGGACCCUCCCUUCAAGUUUAAGCCAACUGAAUUCUAGUUUCUUACUCAAUCCUUGAGAUGAUAAAAUAAUCAAAUGUCAUCAUCAAUUCAUGUCAAGUUACAAGGACAAUUUUGAAAAGCUAGGAAAAUGCAUCAAGUCUUUGAUAACCAUAAAAAGAAAACAAAUAGGAUGAACUUUCAUCAUGUGGAUAAGAACCCUAAAGCACAUAAGAACUUUGACGCCAUAACAAAAACAAUAUUAUUCAUUCCCUUUUCUUUAUUUCUUCCUUCAUAUAUUCUGGUACAUGAAUGAUUUCAGGGAAAUCCCAUAAAAUCAUCACAAUAUCACAAUGUCCUAAGAUGCUCUUAACUUCCAUAGCCGUAGCUACAUUACCAAUCCUCCACCAAAUAGAAUCACUUGUUUGAGAAAUCCUUAAAAAAAAUUGAAUUCCUCGUAGUAUAGAUGCAGAGAUCAUAUAAUCAUUCCAGAAAUUCAUCACUUAACUAAUCCAGGUUUAAUCCAACAAAUCACCUAGGUUAGAAGUUUCAGCGAGUUGACCUCCAAAGAAGUUUCAUAUUUCUGCAAAAAUGUAGCCUGAAGCAGAAGGCUCUAAUUAGUCAUGCAAAUACCAACUUUUCAGCCAGUACAACCUAUCCCUUUCCACCAGAAAUCUGGCAUUUUAUCCAAGCUUCAAUUAAGUGAAUAAAAAUAACAAAUAAAUAAAGGAUCAUCAAUUCUCAUGCACAAAAAAUGAUCACCUUUUUGUUUAUAUACAUGUACAUUCCCAGACUUGUGAACUUUCCAUGAAUAUACUAUUCAAACAACUAUACAGUUCAUACUAGGAAGACCUAUGCUACAAGUCCACAACCCCAAGACACCUAAUUUCCCAAGUAUAAACAGAAUUUGGCAUGCAGGAUUCCCAAAGUUGCAAAGUCCCAUGGCAAUCAAUGCAAAUUCUUAUGACAAUCCGCAAUCUAUAUUUCAUUCAUUCAUGGGCAUCCUCAAAUCCAACUCUUCAAGAGCAUUCAAAGCAUUCUUCUUGUCCUAAAACUUUUCACAAUUGAAAACAGCAAUACAUUUUGAAGCACUAGCCUCAUCAAUCAGCAUUCAUAGUUCUCCCUUCUGAUACACUCAAAAAAAAAAAAAAAAUCAACUGAUUUUCUUGCAAAACUCAACUCAAAGCUAAGAUCCUUAAGCUCUCAUUGAAGUAACAAAUCACAUCAUUUCCACAGCUAUUGCAGAAUAGAAUCAUCCAAGUGGCAAUGAAAAUGAACACACAUAUAAAACAAAGAUAUAAAAAAGUUUUAUUAAUGAACAACAGCAAACCAACAAAGAAUGAAAAUCACCGAGCAGCUAAAAGACAACAGACAAAAACAAACAAACAAACAAACAAAUAAAACUUCAGAUCAGCAGAUCAAAACAUCAUAGAGCAAAAACAAAAACAACCCACUAAAAAUAAGACAAUAUAAAAAAUACCCAGAUCAGCAAACAACAAAAGGGUGGUGGGAGAUCCAAUGAAUCGUAACAAAAAUUCGACCUGAUCAGAUGGAAAUGAUAAUCAAAGAGAUGAAGAGGGUACCUUAAAGACACAGAGAGAGGGAUCUCAAUGUGUGUGUGUGUGAAGAGUGAUGAUGGAUUACGAAAAAAGGAAAAGCUGGCAAAUAAAAGAUACUGGGGAAAAGAGAAAGAAAAGUGAAUAAUUGAGGAGGUUGUGUUGUGUGUGUGCUGUGGGUUCUGGGCUCUCUCUCUAACUUUUUUUUUUUUUUAAUUCGUUGGGGGUCUUUUCAGAAAUUGUAAUUCAGAAAGAGAUAGAGAGAGAAAAAUGAAAUGAAUUGUGAUGACGAUGAAGACGAAGAGAGGGUAAAAAAGAGAUAAAAAAUUGAGUGGAGUUAUUUUCUUAUCAUCAGCAGAGCAGGUCGUUAUUUAAGGAAAAGAUCCGGGGACGAUGGCACCGGCCAUGUUGGCUUUCUCUUUUGCUUCGAUGGAUUAUUGCUUUCUUUGCUUUCUUCAAUUUUGGAUUAAUAACAAUGGGAUACUUAACUUUUCAGUUUGUUUCAAGUAGGUCCCUAUUUCUAUUUAAAAUUUUAAAUGAGCAACCUAUAAAUGUUAUUUUUAUUUUUUGACCAUCACAAAUUUUCUUUUAGUAUAAUUGAGAUAACUUUUAUCUGAGACACAUUUUUUAAUGACAUUGAGACUUUAGGUUUUUUAUCUCUCCCAUCUAAUGUGGAGACAAGGCAUGUUCAUUAUACUACAAGCAGAGAUAAAGAGUUAAGGAAGGGAGAGUUCACUAAA